ACAAAAUGGUGACGUUUGAGGGGGAGUAAAGGGCAGGGAAUAGAUCGAGACGAGGCUAGAUUGGGGUUGAGCGUGAGGUUCACAGAGCCGAAGAUGUGGGUGACACGUCCAAUUGUCUAGAGGAUAGUGGUGACGAGUUUCCAAUGCAUUAUUAGGUUGCCAGUGCAGCCUUUUUUUCAUUUUUGGAGGAGAUGGAGUGGCGCGCAGAUUUGGCAACACACUUCUCCUAAUGGGAGCCGUCCUAUGAGUUGCCAAGGGUGCGACGG
This 266-nucleotide long non-coding RNA is filed under the name Vigna radiata. RNAcentral's name for it is "long non-coding RNA (VRAD_LNC009490)". The record is from RNAcentral. Lineage: Eukaryota; Viridiplantae; Streptophyta; Magnoliopsida; Fabales; Fabaceae.